This 39-nucleotide transfer RNA is filed under the name Gyrodactylus salmonis. RNAcentral describes it as "partial tRNA-Thr". The record is from RNAcentral. Lineage: Eukaryota; Metazoa; Platyhelminthes; Monogenea; Gyrodactylidea; Gyrodactylidae.
GUCUAGUUAGUUUUACUAUAAAAUAUGGUUUUUGUAAUA